RNAcentral lists this ribosomal RNA (507 nucleotides) under uncultured bacterium. RNAcentral describes it as "bacterial LSU rRNA". It matches the Rfam family "Bacterial large subunit ribosomal RNA", at positions 1647 to 2139 of the family's 2925-position model. The record is from RNAcentral.
CCCGAAACCGACACAGGUGGUCAGGUCGAGAAGACCAAGGCGCUUGAGAGAACUCUGGUGAAGGAACUAGGCAAAAUAGUACCGUAACUUCGGGAGAAGGUACGCUGUUGAGGGUGAAGUAUUUACUACGUAAGCCUUUGGCAGCCUCAGAAACUAGGCCGCUGCAACUGUUUAUUAAAAACACAGCACUCUGCAAACACGAAAGUGGACGUAUAGGGUGUGAUGCCUGCCCGGUGCUGGAAGGUUAAUUGAUGGGGUUAGCGAAAGCGAAGCUCUUGAUCGAAGCCCCAGUAAACGGCGGCCGUAACUAUAACGGUCCUAAGGUAGCGAAAUUCCUUGUCGGGUAAGUUCCGACCUGCACGAAUGGCAUAAUGAUGGCGGCGCUGUCUCCACCAGAGACUCAGUGAAAUCGAAAUCGCGGUGAAGAUGCCGUGUACCCGCGGCUAGACGGAAAGACCCCGUGAACCUUUACUGCAGCUUUGCAUUGAACUUUGACCUUACUUGUGU